Molecule: ribosomal RNA, 439 nt
Filed under: uncultured bacterium
Lineage: Bacteria
Description: bacterial SSU rRNA
Rfam family: Bacterial small subunit ribosomal RNA
Source: RNAcentral
UAGUCUACGCUGUAAACGAUGUGCACUUGGUGGUGGGUAAUUAACUCUCGCUGCCGUAGCUAACGUGUUAAGUGCACCGCCUGGGGAGUAUGCCGGCAACGGUGAAACUCAAAGGAAUUGACGGGGGCCCGCACAAGCGGUGGAGCAUGUGGUUUAAUUCGAUGAUACGCGAGAAACCUUACCAGGGCUUGACAUAUUUAGGAUCGCUGUAGAGAUACAGUUUUUACUUUUGUAACCUUUUUACAGGUGCUGCAUGGUUGUCGUCAGCUCGUGCCGUGAGGUGUUGGGUUAAGUCCCGCAACGAGCGCAACCCUUGUCGUAUGUUACCAUCAUUAAGUUGGGGACUCAUGCGAGACUGCCGGUGACAAACCGGAGGAAGGUGAGGAUGACGUCAAAUCAGCAUGGCCCUUAUGUCCUGGGGCUACACACGUGCUACAAU